This 2473-nucleotide long non-coding RNA is filed under the name Equus asinus (donkey). Its description in RNAcentral is "lncRNA (ENSEASG00005031002.1)". Lineage: Eukaryota; Metazoa; Chordata; Mammalia; Perissodactyla; Equidae. The record is from RNAcentral.
GCUGGUGUGAGGGUCUCUCUGCUCCUGGAGAUCCACAGACAGUUUUGGUUGGAGAAAGGGACAGACAAACUGCUCUUCAUGUAGAGAGAUGGGACCAGCUGCACUCCCCCAGCUCUCCCUUGCAGCAUUAGGAGCCCAAAGGACCUUGCUGGAACACCCGUAAUAGAGCUCAGUCCUGAACUGAACCAACACAUCACCUGGCUCUCGUAUAAAAGUGGUGCUAUGAGGGGGAGCCUGGGUGCACCAGGUGGGGUGUAGGCAGAUGUGGGGAGUUCAGCCCCAGGAGAGAGAGAAGAAUCACUCCUCAAUACCAUAUGCUCCUCCUCUUUCUCAAACCUCCUUGGCCCCUCUUUUUUUCUACCUCCCUUCAGCCAACUCCACUCCUGGGCACCUUAUCCCCUCCAAUCUGAGAAGACAUGGGCAGAUCCAAGAGACCAAGGGGACUGAGGCAUCCUAGUCAGUGUCUCAACAGAACUGGGGAAGCUCCUCUCUCCCCUCCUGACGUAGGACUUUUCAUGGAGAGGAACCAUAUCAUAUAUUCACCAUCCCCACUGGAAACAAGAGGAAAAGGGAUCAGAUUUUACCAGAAAGGAUAGAGCUUAGACAUAUGGAAAAACUUACUCAUGGGCUGUAAGACUUCAGAAUGGGCCUACUUCUCAUCAGAGAUUUUUCUUCUGCCUGGGAUGUGUUUAAGUCUACCUAAGGGGCACUGGAAAAACAGGGUUACUUUUCUGGGGCUCCUCCAGAUGUAGGUCCCUGUGCAGUUUCCACACAGUGCACCCCUCCUCAGCCCUUCUAAAUGUAUGUGUGGUGGUUAGAUCGCAAGUUUUGGAAGCAGACAGCCUUGGGUUCUAGUCCCAGCACUGCCAUUUAUCAGCUGUGCUACCUUGGUAAGUCACUUAACCUUUUUGAGCCCUAAUUUCCUUGUCUGUGAAAUGCAGAUAAACAAUCUCUUAAGGUUGUAGAGAGAAUUUAGUGAAAUAAUGUGCAUAGAGCACCUAGGACAGUGCCUCAUACUCAGUGGGUGCUUAGUCAACCAUUGAUGCAAUAGUCUAUUACUUUUAUGCAGUCAGCAGGGCUGAAAUUGCUUCAAAGACUCCAUGAGUCCCCUGAAAUUGUAGGCCAAAUGUGUUUAUGUGCAUAUACUGGGGAGAAUGUCCAUACUUUUCUUCAUGAUGUGGGGGGGGGGGGGGGGUGCCAGUCUCCUGGAAAGGAAGUAGCCCCAAUCUCUUGACUCAGACUCCCCAAGAAGUCAGUUCCGUCAUUCCCAUGCCUCUCAAGCCAGGAGCACCUUAGGCAGUGUUCUUCUACCUGGAAGUACAGCUUCAUCUAAGAUGGAGCUGGGGAGAGACAGCCAUUAGGAUAGCAACACCUUGCAUUUGCCAGGCACUUUACAGUUUGUCAAGUACAUUUACCUACAUUUGCUCUUUUGAUACCCAGAACAUGACAGUAAAGUGAAGCGAACUAUCAUUUAUUGAGUGUCUAAUAUGUGCCAGGCAUUGUGCUAGGUGUAUUUUUUUUAAGUAUGUUUAAAGUCUGUAAAGUGUUUCGUCACCUAGAUAUGCUGUGAUUUAUAACGCUCAUCUCCUAUUUUUAAUCAUUUAGAUAUUUUUACUGAAAUAAUAUCACAAUGAACAUCUUAAGAUAUAAAACUUCAUGCAUUUUUUAUAGUAAAUUCUAAGAAGUGGAAUUAUUGGGUCAACAGAUACAGAUAUCCUCCCCUCUCUAUAGUUAUGAUCAUUUUAUUGAUGAACCCUAAUGAGAAUAAUAUUUUUUAAUCUUCCUCUUUGGAAUUCUGCAAUGGAAACACAAGGGCAGCCCCUUCUCUCUCCUAUACCCAACAGAGACAUUAAUAAUCUAUCAUAGCUUUUUUUUAAUUGAAGUAAUUGUAGAUUCACAUGCAGUUGUAAGAAAUAAUACAGAGAGAUUCCAUGUACAUUUUAUCUACUUUCACCCAAUGGUAACAUUUUACAAAACUAUAGUAUAAUAUCACAACCAAAACAUUGACGUUGAUACAAUCCACCAGUCUUAUUCAGAUUUCCAGUUUUACUUGUUCUUGUGUGUGUAUUAAGUUCUAUGCAGUUUUAUUAUCUGUGUAAAUUCGUAUAUCUACCACUACAGUCAAGAUAAUUGAACAGGGGCUGGCCCCGUGGCCGAGUGGUUAAGUUCACAUGCUCCACUUUGGCGGCCCCGGGUUUCACCAGUUUGGAUCCUGGCCAUGGACGUGGCACGUCUCAUUAGGCCACACUGAGGUGGUGCCCCACAUGCCACAAGUAGAAGGACCCACAACUAAAAUAUACCACUAUGUACUGGGGGGAUUUGAGGAGAAAAAGCAGGAAAAAAAACCUGAACAGUUUUAACACCACAAAGAUUCCUCAUGUUGCCCUUUUAUAAUCAUGCCCAUCUCACCCCUCCUUAACCCUUGAGAACCACUAAUCUAUCCUCCACUUCUAAAAUUCUGUUGUUUCAAAAA